GAUGAACGCUGGCGGCGUGCCUAAUACAUGCAAGUCGAGCGAACAGAUGAGGAGCUUGCUCCUCUGACGUUAGCGGCGGACGGGUGAGUAACACGUGGAUAACCUACCUAUAAGACUGGGAUAACUUCGGGAAACCGGAGCUAAUACCGGAUAAUAUAUUGAACCGCAUGGUUCAAUAGUGAAAGACGGUUUUGCUGUCACUUAUAGAUGGAUCCGCGCCGCAUUAGCUAGUUGGUAAGGUAACGGCUUACCAAGGCAACGAUGCGUAGCCGACCUGAGAGGGUGAUCGGCCACACUGGUACUGAGACACGGUCCAGACUCCUACGGGAGGCAGCAGUAGGGAAUCUUCCGCAAUGGGCGAAAGCUUGACGGAGCAACGCCGCGUGAGUGAUGAAGGUCUUCGGAUCGUAAAACUCUGUUAUUAGGGAAGAACAAAUGUGUAAGUAACUAUGCACGUCUUGACGGUACCUAAUCAGAAAGCCACGGCUAACUACGUG
RNAcentral lists this ribosomal RNA (497 nucleotides) under uncultured bacterium. RNAcentral describes it as "partial 16S ribosomal RNA". It matches the Rfam family "Bacterial small subunit ribosomal RNA", at positions 28 to 507 of the family's 1533-position model. The record is from RNAcentral.